RNAcentral lists this ribosomal RNA (406 nucleotides) under uncultured bacterium. RNAcentral's name for it is "partial 16S ribosomal RNA". It matches the Rfam family "Bacterial small subunit ribosomal RNA", at positions 30 to 526 of the family's 1533-position model. The record is from RNAcentral.
AUUGAACGCUGGCGGCAGGCCUAACACAUGCAAGUCGAACGAGUGGCGGACGGGUGAGUAAUGUAUGGGAAUCUGCCUGCUGGAGGGGGAUAACUACUGGAAACGGUAGCUACUCCCGCAUACUAUCGGAUGUGCCCCGAUGGGAUUAGCUAGUGGGGGGGGUAAACGCGCACCUAGUCGACGAUCCCGAGAUGGUCUGAGAGGAUGACCAGCCAACCUGGAACUGAGACACGGUCCAGACUCCUACGGGAGGCAGCAGUGGGGAAUAUUGCACAAUGGGCGCAAGCCGGAUGCAGCCAUGCCGCGUGUAUGAAGAAGGCCUUCGGGUUGUAAAGUACUUUCAGCGGGGAGGCGUUACCCGCAGAAGAAGCACCGGCUAACUCCGUGCCAGCAGCCGCGGUAAUUC